CGGAAUUGAUAAUGGUUGAAGUAAUCCACCUGAGCAUUGAUGUCCUGCCUUAAUCUAUUGACAUACAAGACACUUUGAGACGAAAUCGACAAUUUUUCUUUUCAUCUCGUUCUACCAUAAUCAGAGCCGCAUGCUUUGGUACAUUUUAAUACUUUUCGGAUUCAUGGUAAACCUUGAACUUUGAGCCUCUAUCAUGAUAUUAUUUUUCAGUUUGUUAUCAUUGAGGACAUAAAACCAAUCUUGAAACUUAAGUAACUCAUCGGUAGAGACUCGAAAUCCUGUGUUUAAACUAUGUUAUGUAUCCUUUCU
This 309-nucleotide long non-coding RNA is filed under the name Carica papaya (papaya). RNAcentral describes it as "long non-coding RNA (CPAP_LNC009944)". Lineage: Eukaryota; Viridiplantae; Streptophyta; Magnoliopsida; Brassicales; Caricaceae. The record is from RNAcentral.